UACGGAGGAUGCGAGCGUUAUCCGGAUUUAUUGGGUUUAAAGGGUGCGUAGGCGGAUCGUUAAGUCAGUGGUCAAAUUGAGGGGCUCAACCCCUUCCCGCCAUUGAAACUGGCGAUCUUGAGUGGAAGAGAAGUAUGCGGAAUGCGUGGUGUAGCGGUGAAAUGCAUAGAUAUCACGCAGAACCCCGAUUGCGAAGGCAGCAUGCCGGCUUCCUACUGACGCCGAAGCACGAAAGCGUGGGGAUCGAACAGG
Molecule: ribosomal RNA, 252 nt
Filed under: uncultured bacterium
Lineage: Bacteria
Description: partial 16S ribosomal RNA
Rfam family: Bacterial small subunit ribosomal RNA
Source: RNAcentral